AGUGAGAUAGCUGGGUCAAAUAGUGGUUCCAUUCCAAGUUUUCUGAGGGAUCUCCAUACUGCUUUCCAUAGUGGCUGUACCAAUUGCAGUUCCACAAGCAAU
This 102-nucleotide microRNA precursor is filed under the name Marmota monax (woodchuck). Lineage: Eukaryota; Metazoa; Chordata; Mammalia; Rodentia; Sciuridae. The record is from RNAcentral.